Pelobates cultripes (western spadefoot toad) is the source of this 268-nucleotide non-coding RNA. NCBI's taxonomy places the organism in Eukaryota, Metazoa, Chordata, Amphibia, Anura, Pelobatidae. The record is from the annotation of a GenBank genome assembly.
UCCAACUAUCUGUUUUUAUACAGACAUCCGCCAUUUACACUAAAAGUACGUUACUCCUGUUAAAUAACCACAAAUCAAAACCUGUGCCGUUUCAGAGCUUACACACCAGCCUCUACGCCGUGCAGAUGCUAAUAUCUGUGUGUGUUAGUUUGUGUUACUGAGUAACCACUUCUCCAGCUUACAUUAUGUGAUGUCAAAUGAUGUCAUAAUGUAAAUCUCACCAAGGCAUUAAUCAUCAACAAAUGUUAAGUGACCCAGCUGAUACACC